UCCUUCCACGCUAUUAAAAAGUUGCUGAACAAGGGAGGUGGAUCUAAAAACAGGCUCUGCUGUGUGAGGCUGGACCUCGGCCUGGACUGGUUUCCUAAGUGGAAGGAGGUGGAGGAGGGGAGGAAGGUGAGGUUGGGGAAGACAAUGAUGUGUUUGUGUGUGUGUGUGUGUGUGUGUGUGUGUGUGUGUG
Molecule: long non-coding RNA, 190 nt
Organism: Sebastes umbrosus (honeycomb rockfish)
Lineage: Eukaryota; Metazoa; Chordata; Actinopteri; Perciformes; Sebastidae
Exons: 3
Source: RefSeq, a predicted model, not a curated record